Non-coding RNA from Coturnix japonica (Japanese quail), 4475 nucleotides. Lineage: Eukaryota; Metazoa; Chordata; Aves; Galliformes; Phasianidae. The record is from RefSeq and is a predicted model, not a curated record.
AAACGUUUCUUGAACACAAUCUAAUCUGAAUCUCCCCUCUUUUAGUUUAAAACAGUUCUCCCUUGUCCUAUCACUAACUUCCCACAUAAAAAAAGCUGAUCAUUCAUCUUGCUUAUAAGCUCCUUCUAAGUAUUGGAAGGCCACAAUGAGGUCUCCCCAGAACCUUCUCCAGGCUGAACAAGCCCAGCUUCCUCAGUCUGUCUUCAUAGGAGACACACUCCAGCCCUCUUACCAUGUUCAUGGCCCUCCUUUCAACUUGUUUGAACAUCUUCACAUAUUUUUUGUGCCGGAGGCCUUAGGCCUGGACACAGUGCUGCAGAUGGGGGCUUCACAAUGGCAAAGUAGAGCCAUUGUAGUGACCACUUGGUAAUGGCAACUGUUUUUAUAUGUGAAUAACAAGAAUACAAAGUUCUGAUAGCAUCCAGAGAGCCUUGCACUGCAAAAGAAACUGUAUGGAGGAUGUAUGGAGAAGACAGCAAGAUGAUUUUGCUACUUUCUUAUUGCUUCUCUUAGCAAUCUCCAGCAGACAAAAUUGCUAAGUAUUACUGGAUAUUAAGGAGAAACUAUUAAAUGAAUGGAGUCAUAGCAUGACGGCCUUCUGUCUUGGGAAGUGGUAUUUGUACUGUUACAGCUCUCUUAGAUUAUUACUGUGUGGGUGAGAGUCAGGUUAAUUAGUUAUGUUACCUGUAAUAACAAGAAGUAAUACAGCAUAUAGCAAUGACAAUUUUUUUUUUCUCCAGUUUUGAUUUAGAAAUGGGAAUAUUUUGACUUGCGACAAAUGAGAAGAGUAACAAAUUCACUGAAAAUGAUGACUCUCCUACCCUUCAAUCCUAGCUUCAGACUCCUGCAUGCCUUUGUAACUGAUGUGACGUGACCAGUGUAAUGCAUGCUGAGUUGUCUUACAAAUUAGUCGUUGAACAGCCUGGCUAUUGGAAGCGUGCAGCAUUAGCUUUAACCUAAUUUUUAUGUGCUGAAAGACUCUCUUCCCCUUGAUCUAAGGUGAAUUCAGUGUAUCACUUUAGAACGUGUGCAUUUUCAAAGGUUGAUGCAGAUCUCUUUCAAUAAGCUGAUAAUAAGAAGAACUGAAAAUGAAAAAAAAGAGAGAAAAAUGGAAUGGAAUUCAGCUGCAGAAAAUCUCCCUUAAAUCUGUGGGUAUGUAGUAAAGAUGGCAGCUAUGAGGAAAUGUUCCUGUGCCACUGAUGGGACUGUGAAGCUGGUAUUUAUAGUAGCUCACAGCUGAGAAGGCCAAACGGAACAAAUACUGUUGGGCUGGUAAAAAUCUUAUUCUUCAUCAUUUGUAAGACAACCAGUAGAUAAUUGUUCGCAACCUGUUUCCUCCACAUCCCGAGAACCACUGCUGGUUUUUGAGACUGCUUCUGUUCUGCAGUCCUGACAAGUGCUAUUUGAAGUAAGCAGUGCUUGCCAGUACUGCAGUCCUUGAGUGGAAAGAAGAGGCUUGUAUGCAGAGUUCUUAUAAUUGAUAUAGUGGGGUAUGGUCAGUACUGAUGAAAAUGUUGAUGGUGUUUUAUAUGUGCUUAGACCAAACUUGCUUCCUUAGCUAGCACUGAGACUAGAUAUAUUUUGCAAUAGAAGCUUCCUAACAUGAAUUUAAUAGCAUGUUAAGGCAGCGGAGCUUCAAUUUAUCUAUAUAUAUGUGUGUAAGAUGGAAGUCACACCUAUGGACAGCUCCAGAUGUGGUCCUUAAAUGUUCACUUAAAUCAUUUCAAUUCAUUAAUUUGUUCUUAACUUUCCCUGGAUUACAUUCACUGCUUUCAGCACAUUGCUUUCUUUUUGCUCGCCAUUUUAAAACUGAAAUAAUACAUGGGAUGUUACUGCACACAAACGGCAUGGACACAUGUAACAGGGCAACAAUAUGAUAUGUUUUUUCAGAACUGAGCUGGCAGUGCUGGCAAUACUCCUUCUCACAUGGUUAAGGUCAAACCAAAUGUAGAUGCUUUGCUCUGCUUAAAAGCCAAAACACUCAACAUAGGCAAUCAGAAUUUUUGCAUUUUUUGAGCAGCUUACAAGAAGGCUUCCUUAAUCUUAAGGCAUACUAGUCCACAAAGUAAUAGGUAAAGCAAGGCAGACAAUUGUGCAUGAUUUUAAAAUGGUAAUUCAAAACAUUCUAUCACAAAAUGCAUUAUUCCAUCAAAAUUUUCCCCAAGUUUGUGGACAUUUAAUUUCAUGGUUUCAUUUCUUUUCAUCAUAGUGCUGGAUCAAAGGUAGAAGAUUAAAAUCCAAAUGGACUUUAAAUUCACAGUGUACUGUAUAAGAAUGAGGCUGUGCCAUUUGAAAUUGGUAUGAGUUUACAUCAGAGCACAGUUUCUCUGUAUGGAAACUGUGCUCUGAUGUAAAAAUCGGAGAGGUGACAGCAGCGUCUUAUAACCAGGCUUCAUGCACAUUUGGAAAAUGAGGUCAGUGUGUGAAAUAUAAUAUUAAAAUAUUUUAGCAUAUUUGCAAACCUAAAUGUUACUGCAGUAAUAUAGUAAGGAUUAAUUUGUUUUAAAAAUGCCAGAGAACACAGGAAUCUUUAGUCACUAUUUCUAUAUGUAAUGCCUAAUUUUGAGGGUAUUCUUAGUAUGUAAUUUACUAGAAAGCAUUUAGUUUACUCAGACAACUCUAAUAAAUGUUUUACCAUGGAACUAUGACUGCCUUUUGUUUUUCUUUCUCACAGUAAGCUCCAAGAGCAGUUUCUUCCUAAUGAAGGUAUUGGCUUUUAUAAGAACAAGGUUGGAUUCUGCAGAGGCGAGCUGAACAUGCUACGGCUGACUUGGAUCAGUUGUUUACUAGUCUUGAUUACUGAUCAUUUUCAUCUCUUAUAAAUAUAAGGGAUCUUUCUCACUAUGAAUUCAGUGAUCACCUUAAACUCGGAAGCCUUUAAAUAUCAUAUAAUGCCUGCUAGAGGCAGGGAAAUGAUAAAAUUAGCAGAGGAGAGAGGCACGUCUCUCAUGGAUUCGGCAGGCAGCUGGCAGCCAGCCACUGGGUAAAAUCUGCACGGCCUCACCAGCCCUGGAAUCUGCUGCUUUCAGUGACAGAUUUGGAACUGCCUCGUGAUGGAUUUUAAAUACUCUGCUUUGCUUGAUUGUUUAUCUAUUGGCAUGUUGUGUAUCUUUGGUACUGUUUGUAUGUUGCAUAGUAGCACGUGUCUAACUUGUAAAAAAAAUCUGUCCGGGAUAAAAGAAGAAAAAGUAUGCAUCAAGCAUGCAUCAAGCUAGGUAACUCAUGUAGCGAACUGUUAUUAGUAGGGAAUGCCAAAACUAUUUGCUUGUACAAUUCUGGCUCCAGCAAUCUGCAAGGACAGGAAAUGUACAUGUAGAGUGACCGAAAUUACUAGCAGGGGUAAGGGAAACCUGAGAAAGAGGAACAGAAAAGAAGAUGCUUUCAUGGUCCAUAGCACCAGCCUUCACUUCUGGCAGCUGAAGAAAUUAGCUCUGCUUGAAUUGCAGUUGAAGUUAAAAGUCAGAAAUAUAUGUAGACAGUUUGCCAAAUAUGUGUGCAUGAGUUUCUCUAAAACAGUUUUUUUUUUUUUUUUUUUUUCCCAGCUGCAAUACAUUUAGGAAAGCAGUUUGUUCCUUAGAUGUCCCACAAGUCAUGGGCAGCCCUGAAAGAAAGAAUGUCAAGCUUCUGAAUUCAGCCAGAGCUGGAUUUACUGGAAAAUUAAGUCCCACUAGAGGUGGAAUUUGUCUCGACUAAUUUUAACAUUUAUAAACUUUCAUCUAGCCUCAACUGUCAUCUGGGCUCUUGCUGUGUGAAAAGAGCAACAUCUAACAAGGAACUUAGGCAGGAGCGAUAGUACUGGACUGGAGAUACACCAUUUACUUUUCCCUACCAAUUAUAGAAGGUCACAAGUCAGUUUAGUUUAGAUAAAUAGCUUCCAUAUUACUGAAAUCAGAUGAUUUAAAUCCUACCUUCAUAGCAAGAGGACUGUGAAUUUCUCUUCCCAGCCAGGUGAAACUUGAGGCCUACCACCCCAGGGGACAAAUUCAGGAAAAACAGAAUGUGCAGAGCAACAGCAGUAAGCCUGUAACUCUAACACCUCCAGCAUCCAUAAUACACAGCAUUAUCAUCCCCCAGGAGCAGGCACAGGGGCUGCCUGUUUUAUCCAGCCACAAAAGAAUGAGAGGCUUUCCUGGGAUAUCUCAGAAAUCUCAAGUGUGCUUUUGGUGGAGGGAUAAUUGUCCAUUGUGAAAAUGCUAAAUAAUAGUGAAUUGGCUGCUAAAGGUUUUGAUCCUUUUCAUGGCAGCCUAUAUAAUUGUCAGGGAACACCUAAGGCAAAGCAUGGAUAUUUGCAAUUGAAGUGUGUGUGCCUUCCUAGGUGAUACUCUUUUGUAUGACUAAGAAAUUUGCAGAAUUUAAAGACAUGUAUUUAUUGUUCUGUUCCUAAAGAUGUGUGCUAGGGAAGUAAACUGGCUCUUGCUGUGUUAAAAUAAUUUCCCACACUGAAUGUCAAAUAAACUGAUGUGUAACCAAUAGUU